GUCUUUUUGUUAAAAAUUUAAGGUCUGGCCUGCUCAAUGAUAGAUUAAAUAGCUGCAGUAAAAUGACUGUACAAAGGUAGCAUAAUCAUUAGUUUUUUAAUUAAAAGCUGGAAUGAAGGGUUUAACGAAAAAAUUUCUGUCUCAAUUUAAUUUAAUUAGAACUUUAUUUUUUUAUUAAAAAGUUUAAAUAAGUUUAAAAGACGAGAAGACCCCAUAGAGUUUAAUAUUAUAUUAAGUUUUAUUUAAUUAUAUAAUUAAAGUAAGUAAUUAAUUUAAUAUUUUUUUGGGGUGAAAGAAAAAAUUAAUAAACUUUUUUUUUAUUAGAUCAUUUUUCUAUGAUUAAUUGAUCCAUUGAUUAUGAUUAUAAGAUUAAAUUACCUUGGGGAUAACAGCGUAAUUUUUUUUAAGAGAUCUUAUCGAUAAAAAAGUUUGCGACCUCGAUGUUGGAUUAAGAUAUAUUUAUAGUGAAGAAGCUAUAAAAUUAGGUCUGUUCGACCUUUAAAAUUUUACA
RNAcentral lists this ribosomal RNA (511 nucleotides) under Schizelythron emersoni. RNAcentral describes it as "partial 16S ribosomal RNA". The stretch from base 385 to 511 matches the Rfam family "Bacterial large subunit ribosomal RNA", at positions 2473 to 2600 of the family's 2925-position model. The record is from RNAcentral. Lineage: Eukaryota; Metazoa; Arthropoda; Insecta; Coleoptera; Staphylinidae.